AAAAAAAAUUGGUUAGAAAAAACAACAUGACUUUGGUGGCAGAAAUUAUUCAUCAGGUACUUUUUGUGCUAAGCUGACAAACUGCUGACACAAAAUACAGGAAGUAAGAACAUGUUUGACCAUGUGGAGCUUACUCUUUAAUAGAAAACUGGGACCUGCAUAAAUCCAAGAAAUGGACCCGACAUUCAUGGAGCACCAACCAUCUGCCAGCAAGACCAACCCCUCCUCCCACUUAGCCUGCUUUAACGUGAAGAUAAUGAGGAUGAAGACCUUUGAUGAUCCACUUUCACUUACAUCUUCACCAGGAGUAUAGAUGCCAUCUGAAGAAACCACUUUCUUUGCUCAUCCAUAAGAAGCAACUCCUCAUUGGCUCAAUUUUCAUCAUGAGAUUGUGGCAACUGAGUGACAUAUUCAGGCUCCACUUCUAUUUUUCUUGCUAUUUCCACCCUUCAAAGUCAUCCAUGAGGAUCGGAAUCAAAUUCUUCCA
RNAcentral lists this long non-coding RNA (487 nucleotides) under Homo sapiens (human). RNAcentral's name for it is "HSALNT0294898". Lineage: Eukaryota; Metazoa; Chordata; Mammalia; Primates; Hominidae. The record is from RNAcentral.